AGCAGCCCCCGUUCAAUCCUCCGACCUACUCUUCCUUAGAUGAACCGCCCUCACUCUCCUUCCCUAUAGGGUGCCUCAGGGCGGGCCAAGCCCAUCUGGGGAGCAUCGCCAGCCUCCUGUGUACUGGUGCCAGAGAAAGAUCAACCCGUGGCACUUUUCUGUAUCUCACCAGCAGGUGCUGACAGCUGAGCCAUUCCACGCACCUUCGGAGCAAAGAACUGCCGGAAACCAGGGCCAAGUUCAGAGCCUGAAAUUUUUUUCAAAGGCUACAAGGAGAAACCUGGAGGGCCUGAUCACACAUUACAUAAGCCGACAUACCACAGAGUACAAACCAUGCUUUAGUGACAUUGAUCAGGCCACAGAUGACUGAGCUAUGAGAGGCCAUGAGCUUUCCAAGAUCAGUUUCCUAAACCAGCUGCUUCUCAUCAGUCCGGUCCCCACUGGCCAGAGCUAU
RNAcentral lists this long non-coding RNA (454 nucleotides) under Pan troglodytes (chimpanzee). RNAcentral describes it as "long non-coding RNA NONPTRT004020". The record is from RNAcentral. Lineage: Eukaryota; Metazoa; Chordata; Mammalia; Primates; Hominidae.